Long non-coding RNA from Oxyura jamaicensis (ruddy duck), 2622 nucleotides. RefSeq lists it as uncharacterized. Lineage: Eukaryota; Metazoa; Chordata; Aves; Anseriformes; Anatidae. The record is from RefSeq and is a predicted model, not a curated record. The transcript is spliced from 2 exons.
ACAGCCCUUCCUGCAGGGUGACGGAGCUCACACCGACACCUGGUCUCCCUGGUGAGCCACUUCCACCAUCCAACGGACGUGAGACAGGGAUGGUGUCACCUGUCUGUCUCAUGGGGGAGUCAUGAAGCUUAAUUAACGCAACUGGCAAUAAGGCAGCAACUCAGCGCUGUCCUUUGGCAGAGGACGUGAAUAGGUGACACGACGGAGCAAAAGCUAGGAGCUGAGGGAGCUGCGGCUCGUGCCAGGCUGCACUGGCAAUACCAGGUCCUGACCCUGCAGGUGAAGGGGAGAUGCUUCUGUGCUGGAAGUAGACAGAAUGCUUUCAACGAGAAGAGCAGAUAAGCUGUGCUGUUAGACACACUGCUUGGCACGUUCCUGUUUCUAGAAAGCGAGGGAUUUGGCUGAGUACGCCAGCAGCCCACUGUGUGCUGUAAGAAUAGCUGUCUGUUGGUAGGAAAGUUGCCUGGUGCUUUCACUGCAGCACUGAACACCUACUGGUGGUGUUCUGGGUCCCUGCGGACCCGCUGUCAUCCUGUUUUGUUGUAUUUCGGUUAAUGGCUUGCACAGAUCACAGCGACUCUGCUGCAUUUUCUCUCACAGGUAGAAAUCCUGUUUUUCCCCCCUCCCUAACUCACAAAGCCAAGGUUCAAAACUUUCAAAUUUCUUUGCCAGCCCUGCACAGCAGCUUGUAUUGUCUGAUACUUCAGAUGAAUUUUCCCCAGUCGUUAACAUGUACCUGUGAACUGUGUACUUGUAGCUCGGAAAUGAAAUGCUGCCCUGGGACAAUACUUGAUUGGCUAAAAACUGGCAGAGUUUGUUUCAUAAUUCAAAGGGGACAGCAGUUGGCUUUUAAAGCUGGUUAUUCGGGGUGGUCCUGGAGUAUAUAUUUCACCUAGGCUUUGAGAAGGGCAAAUGAUUAAAGCGUGGGUAUGUGCUAGGAAUUCAGGAAUUAUACCAGGAACUACACUUCAGGAACAUAACUUGGAAUGGGAGAUGAAAAAGGUGCUUUAUUUAUUUGCUCUUCUGACAUGCAGCAACACACAGUUCUGCUCUGGCUCUGUCCCUGACAUGCUAACUCUUUGCUUCACCAAAGGCAACUAACGCAGGCGUGAAGCUGCGGAUUGCUGGAGGGAUGAUGACACUGGGAGCUGUGACCAGAGCUGCAGCUGUUUACCACAGCUGUAGAGGUGGAAGGGGAGGGCUUUGGCAAAUGCAAGUCUGAUCCUCCAGAGAGAUCACAAAAAAAGAGCUGCCAGCCUUCAGUCUGUCAAGGAUCUGUUCUUCGUGCAUCACCUUUAGCUGUUUUUCACGUCGCUCUUCUCUCGAAGGUGUGCACUGUGAUGCUGUGCCAUCAGCUGUGCUACAGCCCGCCCAGGGCAGGCCAUGAUGGCAUUGUGCAGCACCGCACAGUGCCCAGGAACAUGCAUGGGGUGAGAGGCGGGGUGGCUGCAGAGCUGAUGGGCUCCCUCCAGCAGGUUGCCUGCUGAAGGGAACAGCAGUGGGUGAUCAGUCUGACCGUAGCUAGAUGCUACCCCUGGGGCCCAGGGCUUAUCUCUGUACCACAGUGCCUUUUGCUGCAUAGAUAGAUCAGGUGUUCGGGGCCAGCAUGGCUAUCUCUGCUGCUGCACGUGAUGGGGGCAGUCUGUGGGGGCAGCACCUGAGGCAUAAUCAAGUUAACUACUUGAAUUGAUUUGUCUACAAUGCAUGUUCUCUCCUAGUGUCCUGCAGCAUCAGCCUCAACAGGGAAGACGCUAGAAGAGUGCAGCUCAGAGUGAUUUGAUUUUGUUUCCAGUUUUCAAAGCUAUGGCCUUUGUAUAUAACUGCAGCAGAUGGCCCGCACUACUUAGGCACAACCUGAUCUCCUGCGUCACCCCCACUAAGACACUCUUGUAGGAAACGUGACAGGUUACUUAAAACACUGAGCUCCAGAGCUGCUGCACAGCUGAUAGCUGGAAGAAACCACUCAAGGAGACACAAACGGUGGAGAGGAAGCCAGGGAGGCAGCGUGGGUAGGACUGCUAGUUAGUGCCAGCUGCCAGGUGUGCAUCGUGCCCUGGGGGCUUGGCAUGUCCGCCCCAUGUGUACAGGGAGACUGCAGCGCGUUGCAUAGCUAGCCGAGCUGUUCUCUGGUGCUGCACAAUGCAGUUGUGAUAAGGGGGGAGAGUGCCCAUGUAUGAAUGAGCCUGGUGCCAAAAUACCUUUUAAUGUAUUUUGCCAGGUUCUCAGCAGGGGUAACGCUUUAGGGUCCUGCUGAUGUGGAGUCCAGACCUGGAAGGAACUGGGCUGUGGCAGCGAAGAUGUGUUUGUCUGCCGGUCCUGCUCCAUCUGGUGAGCAAUGCUUGCUCUGGUUGGAAGUCACCUUGGAGGGAAGCUUUUGCUGCUUAUUCUGCUAGGCAAGCAGGAGCAUCCUGCUUAAAAAUUGAUAUUCCUGAUUAAGAGAUAUUCCUGAUAUUCUCUGAUUAAGAGCUGCGAUUUCCGCAUAAAGGUGGCUAGGGUAAGAGCCUAGGGUUGGAGAACAGUACUAAUAAGCGGCACAUUUUCUUCACAGAUAUGUGAGGUUUAAUUCUCUUCUUAUUCAGUUGUCAUUGGUCUCAUCUUAAUAGAAGUCCUCCCUGAGACUGC